CCUACGGGAGGCAGCAGUGGGGAAUCUUGCGCAAUGGGCGAAAGCCUGACGCAGCCAUGCCGCGUGAAUGAUGAAGGUCUUAGGAUUGUAAAAUUCUUUCACCGGGGACGAUAAUGACGGUACCCGGAGAAGAAGCCCCGGCUAACUUCGUGCCAGCAGCCGCGGUAAUACGAAGGGGGCUAGCGUUGCUCGGAAUUACUGGGCGUAAAGGGAGCGUAGGCGGAUAGUUUAGUCAGAGGUGAAAGCCCAGGGCUCAACCUUGGAAUUGCCUUUGAUACUGGCUAUCUUGAGUACGGAAGAGGUAUGUGGAACUCCGAGUGUAGAGGUGAAAUUCGUAGAUAUUCGGAAGAACACCAGUGGCGAAGGCGACAUACUGGUCCGUUACUGACGCUGAGGCUCGAAAGCGUGGGGAGCAAACAGGAUUAGAUACCCUGGUAGUCCACGCUGUAAACGAUGAGUGCUAGUUNUCGGCAUGCAUG
Molecule: ribosomal RNA, 479 nt
Filed under: uncultured bacterium
Lineage: Bacteria
Description: bacterial SSU rRNA
Rfam family: Bacterial small subunit ribosomal RNA
Source: RNAcentral